This 253-nucleotide ribosomal RNA is filed under the name uncultured bacterium. RNAcentral's name for it is "partial 16S ribosomal RNA". It matches the Rfam family "Bacterial small subunit ribosomal RNA", at positions 524 to 776 of the family's 1533-position model. The record is from RNAcentral.
UACGGAGGGUGCAAGCGUUAUCCGGAUUCACUGGGUUUAAAGGGUGCGUAGGUGGGCAGGUAAGUCAGUGGUGAAAUCUCUGGGCUUAACCCGGAAACUGCCGUUGAUACUAUCUGUCUUGAAUGUAGUGGAGGUGAGCGGAAUAUGUCAUGUAGCGGUGAAAUGCUUAGAUAUGACAUAGAACACCCAUUGCGAAGGCAGCUCGCUACACUAUUAUUGACACUGAGGCACGAAAGCGUGGGGAUCAAACAGG